AGGGAAAAGGGCUGAGGGGGUAGAGGUAUAAAAAUCAGAUAGCUCAGCACUUCGCUCCAAAGGAGCUGAAGGAGAGAGGAUUCCACUGCGUGUAUGUUUUCUCUUUCACGUCUCACUUUUGUUCUCUGCCAUCAGGAAAUGCAGUAGACAUUUGUCACCAGCAGCUCUUUGGAGACUUCAAUGUUCCUUCCUCCCAGGAUCCGAAAGGGGACUUCAGACACGGGAGAAUCUAAGACACCAGGAGCUCAGAAGAAUGGAGUCUCAAGACAUCAGGCAAAUACCGAAGAGAUCAGAGCCAAGUUCUAAAGGGCAGCCAUUUCCCAAAUGUCAACCAAGAGCGAAGCCAAGAGAAUUAUGAUUUCCUGGCUAUACAAUGACAGGAAAAGCUUGAUCAAAGCUGGAGUGCAAGUUAAAAAGUGUAAGGUACUCAAGUGCUAGGGUCUGUGUCCAAGCCCAAUCAAUUGAUCAUUAGUUGUUUUUAACUUCAACGUUUCUUUUGCAACAGCACCUCUUCCUUAAAGUAGCAAUCUUAGCAGACUGCCACCUUACAUGAUGCAUCUUAUUCUCCAAGGACAAUGAAGACUGAACUAUCGCACAUUACCUAAGAAAGAUGGGAAUUGACAUGCACAUCACAAUUGUAUACACAACAG
This 650-nucleotide long non-coding RNA is filed under the name Homo sapiens (human). Its description in RNAcentral is "non-protein coding LINC01614:7". Lineage: Eukaryota; Metazoa; Chordata; Mammalia; Primates; Hominidae. The record is from RNAcentral.